AGCUUUUAGGACCUGCAGUAUCUACAAACCAGCUUCUCAGGAGUCACCUGCAGCAUGUAAAUGAAGGUAUGGGUAUUGAUGAGCUCACCCAUCAGAUGUAUGUAGAGUCAGAACAAGUCCAUGGAGAGGCAGCUGAGAAUAGCAGUUGACUGGCAAUUGACACUCAGAAGAAACAGCUAAAAAGAAUCACAAUUCUCCUUUAGUGAAUUAUCUGUCCAACGGUCCAGGCUUGGAGGCAGCUCCCCUAAACAGAUGAGCCUUGUGAGGACAGUUUCUCUCUCGCUGGAACUGGACCCUGGAAUGAGUGAUCCAAAGACAUUAAGUGAUUCACACAGUUCUCUGUGGAGACCCGCUCAGAUCCCCAGAGUUGUAUGAAGAUUUAACUGAAGACAUUUGAGAUAUACCAGAUGAGAAAGAAGCCUUUUCAGAGCUUCCCUUAUCUGACUAAUAGGCAGAGAGUGAACCUGCCAUAAAUUCCCUCUUCAGGAAAGCCUCACUUCCAGGAAGAAGACUGACUGCUCACAGAGAGAGAGGCAUGUUUUUGACCAUCUUGAGCUGAUCUGUGAGGCAUCUAUAAGAAGCUGAAGAACGUGAAAUUCUCAUUUAAUCUGGAAGUUCCAGGACCUCAAGUUGGUUUAAACAUUCAGGAAGAAGCAAACUUAAGGGAACUGAAUCAUACUAAAUAGACUCUCAAUGUAGCAUAUAAA
This is a long non-coding RNA of Suricata suricatta (meerkat), 707 nucleotides long. RefSeq lists it as uncharacterized. The record is from RefSeq and is a predicted model, not a curated record. The transcript has 6 exons. Lineage: Eukaryota; Metazoa; Chordata; Mammalia; Carnivora; Herpestidae.